RNAcentral lists this unclassified non-coding RNA (18 nucleotides) under Nippostrongylus brasiliensis. Its description in RNAcentral is "partial SL2-like trans-spliced leader sequence variant SL2b". The record is from RNAcentral. Lineage: Eukaryota; Metazoa; Nematoda; Chromadorea; Rhabditida; Heligmosomidae.
AAUACCCAGUAUCUCAAG